GCUGGCGGCAUGCCUAAUACAUGCAAGUCGAUCGGAUGUAGCAAUACAUUAGAGGCGAACGGGUGAGUAACACGUAUCCAAUCUGCCUUAUAGUGGGGGAUAACUAGUCGAAAGAUUAGCUAAUACCGCAUAACAAGUUAACUAUCGCAUGAGAAUAACUUUAAAGAAGCAACUGCUUCGCUAUAAGAUGAGGGUGCGGCAUAUCAGCUAGUUGGUGAGGAUAAUGGCCCACCAAGGCGAUGACGUGUAGUUAUGCUGAGAGGUAGAAUAACCACAAUGGGACUAAGACACGGCCCAUACUCCUACGGGAGGCAGCAGUAGGGAAUUUUUCACAAUGGACGAAAGUCUGAUGGAGCAAUGCCGCGUGAACGAUGAAGGUCUUUUUAGAUUGUAAAGUUCUUUUAUUUGGGAAGAACAGUUAAUAGAGUGGAAAGCUAUUAAUUUGACUGUACCAUUUGAAUAAGUAACGACUAACUAUGUGCCAGCAGUCGCGGUAAUACAUAGGUUGCAAGCGUUAUCCGGAUUUAUUGGGCGUAAAACAAGCGCAGGCGGAUUAGAAAGUCUGGUGUUAAAAGCAAUUGCUUAACGAUUGUAUGCAUUGGAAACUUCUAGUCUAGAGUUUGGUAGAGAGUCCUGGAACUCCAUGUGGAGCGGUGAAAUGCGUAGAUAUAUGGAAGAACACCAGAGGCGAAGGCGAGGACUUGGGCCAAUACUGACGCUUAGGCUUGAAAGUGUGGGGAGCAAAUAGGAUUAGAUACCCUAGUAGUCCACACUGUAAACGAUGGAUGUUAAGUGUCGGAGCGAAUACUUCGGUGCUGCAGUUAACACAUUAAACAUCCUGCCUGAGUAGUACAUUCGCAAGAAUGAAACUCAAACGGAAUUGACGGGGACCCGCACAAGUGGUGGAGCAUGUUGCUUAAUUCGACGGUACACGAAAAACCUUACCUAGACUUGACAUCUUGGGCGAAGCUAUAGAAAUAUAGUGGAGGUCAACCCAAUGACAGGUGGUGCAUGGUUGUCGUCAGCUCGUGUCGUGAGAUGUUGGGUUAAGUCCCGCAACGAGCGCAACCCUUAUCGUUAGUUACUUUGUCUAACGAGACUGCCAACGUAAGUUGGAGGAAG
This 1122-nucleotide ribosomal RNA is filed under the name Mycoplasmoides gallisepticum. Its description in RNAcentral is "bacterial SSU rRNA". It matches the Rfam family "Bacterial small subunit ribosomal RNA", at positions 35 to 1172 of the family's 1533-position model. Lineage: Bacteria; Bacillati; Mycoplasmatota; Mycoplasmoidales; Mycoplasmoidaceae. The record is from RNAcentral.